GCCUUUUUGGGUCUUGUGAUUGGAAUGAGUACAAUUUAAACCCAUUAACGAGGAACAACUGGAGGGCAAGUCUGGUGCCAGCAGCCGCGGUAAUUCCAGCUCCGGUAGCGUAUAUUAAAAUUGUUGCAGUUAAAAAGCUCGUAGUUGAACUUUGGGCCUGACUAGCUGGUCCGCCUCAUCGCGUGUACUGGUCUGGUCGGGUCUUUCCCCUUGGGGAACCUCAUGCCCUUUACUGGGUGUGGUGGGGAACCAGGACUUUUACUUUGAAAAAAUUAGAGUGUUCAAAGCAGGCCUUUGCUCGGAUACAUUAGCAUGGAAUAAUGGAAUAGGACGUGUGGUUCUAUUUUGUUGGUUUUCAGAACCGCCGUAAUGAUUAAUAGGGAUAGNUGGGGGCAUCAGUAUUCAAUUGUCAGAGGUGAAAUUCUU
This 426-nucleotide ribosomal RNA is filed under the name Herpomyces chaetophilus. RNAcentral's name for it is "SSU rRNA". It matches the Rfam family "Eukaryotic small subunit ribosomal RNA", at positions 490 to 921 of the family's 1831-position model. Lineage: Eukaryota; Fungi; Ascomycota; Laboulbeniomycetes; Herpomycetales; Herpomycetaceae. The record is from RNAcentral.